Molecule: long non-coding RNA, 1056 nt
Organism: Vigna unguiculata (cowpea)
Lineage: Eukaryota; Viridiplantae; Streptophyta; Magnoliopsida; Fabales; Fabaceae
Source: RefSeq, a predicted model, not a curated record
UAAAAGUCUCCCAUAAGUUUGUUUUUCAUUGCUUUGCUAAACUAAUAGUAUACCCUUUUCACUCUCAUAACGAAAUGAAGUAAUCCUCAAAAACAUAUCUAAUCUAGAUGUUUACCCAUAAAAAAAAACGAAUCAAUAAAACGUGAAAGCUGCUGCUGCCAAUACAAUCUUGCGGCCCAUGCCUUUGACUUUGCCCACUCUUUAAAUUCAGUAGUUUAAAACUUAAUCAGCACAAAACUCUAGAAAGCUUGCUCUUUGGGUCACAGAGACCCUGAUGUGGAAAACUAACCCAACUGAAAAAAGCCACUGUACGAAGAUUUCCUUAUAAGGUCUUCAUCAAUAUUAACAAGCUGGCAAACCACAAUACAAAAUUUUCCAGCUAUUUUUUCUGUAGAUAUAUUUUCCCUGAGUGUACCCAAAUUAAAAUUUGUAAGUCUAACUAUCCUUAUCAAUUAAUCAGUUACAGUAAAUGUAGCAGAACCCGUAUGAUUUAGACUUUCAGUUAAUAGUGUCAGAACAAAUGUUUCCCAGAUUUCUCUCUAAGCUUUUUCUCAUUUUAUCUUUCUCAGUGCUUCUUGAUUUCUGAUGAGAAAUACAAUUUAAACUUUAGUAACCAUUGAUGGACUAACAGAUAAAAUACAGUCGCAGUUAUUGUGAAGACCCAAAUUUUCAGUCCCCUAAUCUCUUCUCUCUCGCCACCCACACCACUGAAACACUUUGCACCUCACAACACCCUUCUCCCUCUUCUCUUCUCUGCCUUCUCUCUAUCAAAGGAGAAAAUUCUGAAUCACUCUUCUGUAUUAGCAGAAUCCAAACCCGGGGUCAAUUCAGAAUCUCUCCUCUUAGCUUCAACUCCUUCUUCUCCUCCAUUUCUCUAGUUCUCUAGUGGUACGACUGAAGCUCUUGAGUGGGAGGGUCCAAGUUCAUUAGAAAGAUAUAUAGAGGGCAGAAACCAGGUGGAGAUACCCCUCCUGAGUAGGAGUGGAGCAUGGCAGGGAGUGCCCGCUGUAAUUAAGUUUUGGUUGUAUGUUUUGGAGUGGUGUAGUUUAGCACCCU